AACGAACGCUGGCGGCAGGCCUAACACAUGCAAGUCGAACGCCGUAGCAAUACGGAGUGGCAGACGGGUGAGUAACGCGUGGGAACAUACCCUUCGGUUCGGAAUAACUCAGGGAAACUUGUGCUAAUACCGGAUACGUCCGAGGUAAAACUUGGAGAAAGAUUUAUCGCCGGAGGAUUGGCCCGCGUCUGAUUAGCUUGUUGGUGAGGUAAUGGCUCACCAAGGCGACGAUCAGAGCUGGUCUGAGAGGAUGAUCAGCCACAUUGGGACUGAGACACGGCCCAAACUCCUACGGGAGGCAGCAGUGGGGAAUAUUGGACAAUGGGCGAAAGCCUGACGCAGCGACGCCGCGUGAGGAUGACGG
RNAcentral lists this ribosomal RNA (364 nucleotides) under uncultured bacterium. RNAcentral's name for it is "bacterial SSU rRNA". It matches the Rfam family "Bacterial small subunit ribosomal RNA", at positions 29 to 414 of the family's 1533-position model. The record is from RNAcentral.